This is a long non-coding RNA of Lolium rigidum, 276 nucleotides long. RefSeq lists it as uncharacterized. Lineage: Eukaryota; Viridiplantae; Streptophyta; Magnoliopsida; Poales; Poaceae. The transcript is spliced from 3 exons. The record is from RefSeq and is a predicted model, not a curated record.
GUUGCCACAAGGAUGGGUCAAAGAGAUAGUAUACAGAAGAACAAGGACAAGGACGGGAAUAAAGAAAUAUCUGUACUAUACGGAUCCUGUUACCCAAUAUGUCUUCCGUACUCUGAAGGCUGCAAUUAGAUUUCUUGAAACGGGGGAAGUCACAAAACGUAAAUUUAUUCAAAAGACAAGUGUCCAUGACUUGUACUCUUUUGAAAAAUCUGCUGAUCUGCAUGAGAGUUUGCACAAGAGACUAGCAAAUAUUUUGAAGUAUGCUAAAACACGUGC